UCGGGCAUGGUGUAUGGUACACAGCCUCCUCUCCUGACAUUGGAAUCGACAAGUUGCGCGAGGCAGAUCGGGGUUCGACUCCCUGUGUCCGAA
This is a non-coding RNA of Mycena latifolia, 93 nucleotides long. Lineage: Eukaryota; Fungi; Basidiomycota; Agaricomycetes; Agaricales; Mycenaceae. The record is from the annotation of a GenBank genome assembly.